RNAcentral lists this ribosomal RNA (495 nucleotides) under uncultured bacterium. RNAcentral's name for it is "partial 16S ribosomal RNA". It matches the Rfam family "Bacterial small subunit ribosomal RNA", at positions 28 to 507 of the family's 1533-position model. The record is from RNAcentral.
GAUGAACGCUGGCGGCGUGCCUAAUACAUGCAAGUAGAACGCUGAAGGAGGAGCUUGCUCUUCUGGAUGAGUUGCGAACGGGUGAGUAACGCGUAGGUAACCUGCCUGGUAGCGGGGGAUAACUAUUGGAAACGAUAGCUAAUACCGCAUGACAACAGUUAUUGCAUGAUAACUGUUUAAAAGGGGCAACUGCUCCACUACCAGAUGGACCUGCGUUGUAUUAGCUAGUUGGUGAGGUAACGGCUCACCAAGGCGACGAUACAUAGCCGACCUGAGAGGGUGAUCGGCCACACUGGGACUGAGACACGGCCCAGACUCCUACGGGAGGCAGCAGUAGGGAAUCUUCGGCAAUGGACGGAAGGCUGACCGAGCAACGCCGCGUGAGUGAAGAAGGUUUUCGGAUCGUAAAGCUCUGUUGUAAGAGAAGAACGAGUGUGAGAGUGGAAAGUUCACACUGUGACGGUAGCUUACCAGAAAGGGACGGCUAACUACGUG